GAUGAACGCUGGCGGCGUGCUUAACACAUGCAAGUCGAGCGAGAAGUUUUGAAAAGAUUCUUCGGAUGAAAUUUAAAAUGGAAAGCGGCGGACGGGUGAGUAACGCGUAGGCAACCUGCCCCAUACAAAGGGAUAGCAUUUGGAAACGAAUAUUAAUACCUUAUGAAACUUAACUAGUGCAUGCUAGGUAGGUCAAAGAUUUAUCGGUAUGGGAUGGGCCUGCGUCUGAUUAGCUAGUUGGUGAGGUAACGGCUCACCAAGGCGACGAUCAGUAGCCGACUGGGGGGGGAGAACGGCCCAGUGGGAGAGGAGCACAGGCCAAACACCCAACGGGGGGAGAGAGGGGGGAAAUUUGAAAAAGGGGGGAAACCUUUAACCAAACCCGCCGGGGGAAGAAAGAGGGCCUUGGGGUGGGAAAUUUCCGUUUAAGGUGAAGAAAAAUGACAGUACCUAAGGAAAAAGCCCCGGCUAACUCCGUG
This 479-nucleotide ribosomal RNA is filed under the name uncultured bacterium. RNAcentral describes it as "partial 16S ribosomal RNA". It matches the Rfam family "Bacterial small subunit ribosomal RNA", at positions 28 to 507 of the family's 1533-position model. The record is from RNAcentral.